AAUAGUUUUUUAAAUGGAAACUGGGAUGAAAGAAGUGAUGAGAUUUAUACUGUCUUAGAUUUAGAGAUUAAAUUUAUUAAUUAAGUAAAAAUACUUAGAUAUGAAUAUGGGACGAGAAGACCCUAUAGAAUUUUAUAUAAAUUUAUUAUUUGAUUUAGUUAAAAAAUAUGAGUAAUAGGUUAAUAUUUUAUUGGGAGGAUAGUUAAAUUAGGAAAACUUUAAUAUUUUUAAAAUCAUUAAUUUAUGAGUUAUAAUUAAAAGGAAUGGUUAUUAAAUUUAAGUAGAAUUAAUUACCUUAGGGAUAACAGCGUAAUUUCUUUAGAGAGAUCUUAUUAAUAAAGAUGUUUGC
This 349-nucleotide ribosomal RNA is filed under the name Pheidole cataractae. RNAcentral's name for it is "partial 16S large subunit ribosomal RNA". The record is from RNAcentral. Lineage: Eukaryota; Metazoa; Arthropoda; Insecta; Hymenoptera; Formicidae. RNAcentral also lists the same sequence under 1 other name.